Molecule: long non-coding RNA, 835 nt
Filed under: Brassica napus (rape)
Lineage: Eukaryota; Viridiplantae; Streptophyta; Magnoliopsida; Brassicales; Brassicaceae
Description: long non-coding RNA (BNAP_LNC014892)
Source: RNAcentral
CGAAGUGGAGGCUCGGAUCGAAGAGGUUCAGACCCAGUUGUCUCAACAAAAUCCGGAUGCCCCACCGAUCCAGUUGUCAACCGUCGAGCAGAAUAAAAAUUUUGAACAUGUAAAUUAAUAUGUUUAUCUAGAUAUUUUUACUAAUAAUAAAUGAUACUUAAUUAUUAAUUGAAGAUUAUCACGAAGAAAAGGGGACGGAUAGUCGGGAUCGGUUAAGUGAACGAUGUUCCUAGGGCGACAGUAGCUUACGCUGCUACAAGGGAGGAGGAACAUGUUCGGCUCCGGGAAGAUUUGACAACUGCCAACGGAGUCAUCUCAGAGCUGCAGACCACCAAUGAGCUUUUUACGAAAUUUUUUGACCUCGUCGCAGAUUCAAACCCGAUGCUUGCGCAGCAGUGGCGGAAUGUACGUCCCCGCAUUCACCGCGACCCCACUCCCGAAGAGCAAGCGGAGUUAGAGAGACAAGCUGAAGUCCAUACUUCCCAGCUCCGCGACGAUCUUAACCUUGAUUAGAUUUUUGUAUGUACGUAUUUUGUGUUUCUAUAUUUUUUUAUUUUGGAUAUUACAAUAUUUUUAAUAUAUUAGUGUUUAAUUUUUUUUAAAAAAUUAGAAUUAUUUUUUUUUUAUAAAAUUUUUAUAAAAGAAUUUUAUAAAAAAAUAAAAAAAAAUUUCAAUAAAUUUUUUAUUUAAUAAUAAAUAAAUAUCGAUAUAAUAUUGUCGUGGAAUUUACGACGAAUUGACGUCAAAGUUGAUGUAAGUUCGUCGUAGUCAACUUCGACGUGAAUACAUCGUAAUGUUUACGUCCACAGAACUAUGUUUUUACGUCAAAAAAUUU